CACCUCUCGAGUCUCACUCGGUAUUGGGGCAUGUACUUCGGUGCAGCUCUUGAAUUCAGUCGGCUGGUAUUUUCUACCUUCAGCGUUGUGCAAAUAUCGCUUUGGAAUAGUUAAGGCCACGCCGUUAAACCUCUUUCAAUAA
Molecule: unclassified non-coding RNA, 142 nt
Filed under: uncultured Capnodiales
Lineage: Eukaryota; Fungi; Ascomycota; Dothideomycetes; Capnodiales
Description: sequence contains ITS2
Source: RNAcentral